UAUUCAACGACAUACAAAUUAGAAUUUUCUUUCAACCUAUCAAGAAGAAAAUUAAUUAUAAAUUCUUCUUUAUUGGGAAAAUAUACAUCGACUUCUCCACGAAAAAGUUUGUUUGCUAGAUCGAUUUGGUCUUCUCGACUACCAUUUUUAUCGCGUAUGCGCUUUGUUAGCGUUUGUAAACUCAUACUGACGAGGAACGCUAUAGAGAUAAUAUUCCCUUAUAACAGGUUUAAUCAAAUAUCGGUCGACCACUUGCCAAGUCCACGCGUGGUGGUGGUGGUGUUAACUGAAAAGAAAAAAAAAAAAAAAUUCAAAUUAUAAUAAAGGAGAAACAAACUCUUAACAUUUGCGGAAUUACAUUUACAAUAAAGUUUACAACUAUUUAUUGCUCCUUUUUUUUUGUGUAAAUAGCAUGUGAAAAUUUGACCACAUAUUAAGUAAAAUUUACUAAGUUUCAUUUGAAGUUUCCCUAAAUCACUCAGUUUAAUCGCUGUAAGUUUGAUACUUUUCCAUACUAACAUGUUACCAUAAAUAUUAUUAUGAUUGAAAUGAAACCUUUGACUGCUCUCUAUAGAGUGGGUAAACAAAAGUAAUUCCUACCGCAUCGCAUACACAAAAAAUUGUAAUUGCAAACGACGAAAAGAGCUGAAAUUAAAUAAAAAACCUAUAAAUUUCUUCUCUUUUAUUAAUAAAUAAACAUUGAUACUUAAACUGGGAGGUCUGGUAAGGGAUGUGAACCCUUUGAUACCAUGGGUUUUUGAGAUGUUUUUCCCAAUAUAAACUCAUGUUGAAGUGCUGAAUCAACAGUAAUCCUAUCUUUUGGAUCCCAUUUCAAACAUUUUGAAAGAAAAUCAAGGAAAGAAGCCUGCUUUGUGUUUAGAAGCUGACUAAAUGUUCUAGUAGAUGGAACUAGUAACCGAUUAUGACUAUCCGUAAUUGGAUGUGGUUUUCCUUCCGAGUCAAAAUAAGCCUUCGACCUUGUUGAAUUCCUAAUCAAUGCCAUUGGAGGAGGGCCCAAUACUUCCAUAAUAUAACCUAAUUGUUCAGUUUCAUUACCCCCUGGGAAAAGAGGAACACCAGUAAAAAGUUCUGCUAAAAUGCAGCCGAAGCUCCAAAUAUCAAUCUCUUUUCCAUACUCUAAACCUAAUAUUAUUUCUGGAGCUCGAUAAAAUCGAGACUGCAAGUAAGUGUAAACCUUUUCGUUAUAAAAACAACUGCUUCCGAAGUCAAUUAGUUUAAUUCUUGCUUUAAGAGGAUGUGAAAGAAGGAGAUUUUCUGGUUUAAGGUCACAAUGUAUAAUGUUUUGCCCUUGCAAUAGCCUUAAAGCUUGAAGUCCUUGAAGAGCAAAACUCUUAACAACAAUAAGAGGCAGUCCUUUGUAAUUGUUUUCACGGAUAACAUCAAAAAGAUUGCUACCCAAUAAUUCAGUAACAAUACACAAAUGACCCCUAAAAUCAAAAUGAGAUAGGUAUCGAAUAACGUUGUUUUUGUCGGCGGGGUCAGCUUCACAAAGUCGCUUUAAAAUGCCGACUUCUACUAAAGUCUGUCCGUGAAACUUUUGACGAUUUUUAAUAACCUUUAUAGCGACAACUUGACCGCGUUUGUGAUCGAUGCACUUCAGUACUUGACCAAAGCUCCCUUUUCCCACGGUAUCAAUAAUUUCAUAGCGAUAAAGCAAAUGAUCACCUUGAAUAGCUUUGUAAUCUCCAUUAUCAUCAUCAAAUAAAGCUUCAUUGCAUUCGUCGAGAGGGAUUUGUUUGCUCAGCUUUUGACAAUUUUCAGAGCCAGUAAAAUAAAUUUUCUGAAAGUUUUUGAUUUCUAAGUAUUCAAAGGUUGUCAAACUUCGAAUUUUCCGUUCAUCAAGAGUGUCGUAGGAUUUAGCAGUAAUAGCUACACAACUUUCACGAAGCCGUUUAAGAAUAUUGACUUCACGCAAGACUUUUUCGGUGUUCCUAGUACUCAAAUUUUCCAUAACCAAAUCUGCAUCUUUCAAUAACUGAUUGCUAGAAACAGGAGCUGUAUUACCCAUUUCUUUCCUUAAAGCUCUUAGAGAAAUCCCUGAAUUGAAUGUUGAAUUUUGUCUUUCUGCAUGAACUUUUGAACCGGGAGCCCUCGGAAGUCUACGUAACGUAGAAGCGGAUGAAUAACUAGAAAUUGUUGAACCUGGAGGGCGAAAUUUCGAAUUUUUGUUAAACUUCUUACCACUUGGUCUGUUACCAUAAGUGUCCAGAGGAGUUGUAGAACCAGAAAAACCAACAAUUUCUGACAUAGGAGAAUAAGGCCUAUUAUUUAAAGGAAUACUUUUAUAUGGACUAAAGUUGAGAUCUUUUUGAUGAUCAUUGUCUCUUUGGGACGUUAAUUUCGUAGAUUGUGAUGCAUGUCCGUAUGAACUGCUCUGAAUAUUAUUAUUAAAAUUGGAUGGUUUCAUUCGCGAAGCCAUUCUUGCAGUAUCAUCAGCUCUUUUAGAAUUUUUUCCGAGGGUUCUGGGUCCAUUUACUAUAGAAGACCGUGGUGAAGCAAAUUGAGAACAUUCAUGGAAUUUCGAUUGUUGUGGAUAUUCAUAUUUGUUAGUUUCAGAAGAUAAUGUUUUUUUUUUGUUCAUGGGAUAAUUCGUUCCUCCUGGGGUUUCAUCUAGCUGAUUAAUAGUUUCUUCGUAAGCUAAAGUUUUUGUCUUGCUUAAUUUGUUGAGUGGAUGUCGGUUUUCGACUGUAGGGAUGGUUUCAUAUUCUUUGCUGGAAUUGGGAUUAGCAAGCUUUUCUAGUACAAUGCGACGGUUUUGAGAUAUAACUGGGUUGUCUAAUUUUCCACUCUGUAUGUUGUCAUGAAGCGAUGCAUCUUGUAAACCAUCCAAAGUACUCAAAUUUUUAUUCAGAAAGAUUUCUUUUAGAUCUGCAAAAUGAUGCAAUCCUUUUUUCUGUGCCAAGUGUUCAUCUUUAAAGGACUUCUCUUCUAUUCCAACAGCCGAUUUUUCUUCAUUUUGAUCGGGCUUGUUAGGCCUUUUCACACUAUUUAUUAAUUCUGUAAGUAUUUUGCUAUUGUGUGAAUAUUGGCGUUGCGAUAACAGAAAUACGGGCUCUUUAAAAGUAGAAUGAGCUCUUAGAGGACUGCAUGUCUGUUCAGUCAGAUUAUUAGGAGAAAGGAAAUUAGACACUGGGGCUGAGGAACUUUUACUCUCCUGUUUAGGCAGCGUUUCGCUUGUACUUAUUAACCCCACCAUUUAUAAUUGUUGUCGAAGUUGAUUAACGUAAAGAAAGUAGAAAAAUCAAAUAAUUAAAGGCACUAGCUGCUUAAACCAGGGUGGGGAAAAAUGAAAUGUUGUGAAACGAAAAAUAAUUUUAAAAGAAGGAAUUAAACCCGGAUUUGGAGAACAAAUACUUACAAGUAAAUCAACUUGUUAAACGCAGCAUUCGAAGUCCCCUCUUUGAAGCCUCUUCAGUUCAUGAAGAGUUUGCCGCUAAGCACCACAUAAACUCCAAGAAGUUCAGACAAUUAAGAGGCCUGAAAUUCUUAAAAUUAUUUCAAUUUGGAUAGUUUCACACGGGCAGUUGUUGUAUAGGUGGAAGUAACACACUCCUUGAAAAGUUCAAAAUGGGUAACGGUACACUUGGUAUGCUAACUUCCAGAGCGAGUAGAUAC
This is a non-coding RNA of Schizosaccharomyces pombe (fission yeast), 3636 nucleotides long. The record is from the annotation of a GenBank genome assembly. Lineage: Eukaryota; Fungi; Ascomycota; Schizosaccharomycetes; Schizosaccharomycetales; Schizosaccharomycetaceae.